Non-coding RNA from Misgurnus anguillicaudatus (oriental weatherfish), 3140 nucleotides. Lineage: Eukaryota; Metazoa; Chordata; Actinopteri; Cypriniformes; Cobitidae. The record is from RefSeq and is a predicted model, not a curated record.
CAGUAUUCAAUCCUACACGUUAUUGUACUACAGUACAGUAGGUGGCGGUAUACUGUAGUGUGCUGUUCAUGUCCGCAUCGUCAUACGCGCCAGCACCGCUGAAAGACUGCAGGAACAGAAACCCCUGGAAAGAUGAGUUCCCUAUUAAAGAGAGGCUUGAUGCUGUUUACUACACACUCUUAGGCUGAUUUUGGAUUAUUUGUCUGUGAAGACACAGUAGUUCAGUUUCUGAAUCCCAUCAAGAAUGAAGACCUGCAGGCCACCAUAUUGAGCUGGUCUGAUGUCAUGAUAUGGCGCUUUUCCAAUGUAGGGUACAACUUGGCUCGGCACGAUGCAGCUCAGCUCGCUUUGGUUGCUUUUCCAGUACAGUUUAGUAUCGCUUCAGAGUGGGUGAGAUUAUAGGCAGGGGUGCACAUAAGGGUGUGUAUGCGCGAUUAGAAACAAUUCCAGCGUACCAACGUCGCUGGAAUUUUGUUACAUAGUUAGCUAAUUUACUGCGACAUCUCGAUCACUCCCCAGUGACUGGUCCCAGUAUAGGUCAUAAACCCCGCCUCCCCCAUGUUAUUCAAUGGGACUUGAGACCUGUUAGAUACAAAAUAAACUUCAGUAUGUAAAACGUUUUCUCUUUAUUUAUCCACCGAUAACAUCCGCUCCAACAGGAGCACUAAAACAACAACCGGCUUUCCGCCCGGGCUUCAUAAUAAGAGUCACCUUUUAGCUUCCGUAAAAGGUCAUGUGAAAUAAUAAACAAUAUUUAGCAUAAAGCUAUAAUAUACAUAAACACAUUUUUAAUGUCUUAAACUUAACAAGACCAACUAAACAAUUAAAUUACACUUCAAUUAUCUUUUUUCCGAAGCUUGUUUUUGUCAUUUACUGUAGGUUUUAUCAUGCUGAUGUAAAUUCAAGUGUUUGUUUUUAAAAUAAGUUUGUUUUUAGUUAGUUAGUUAAUGCUAUAAAAACGGUGGUGUCACGUCAUGAUUGACAGCUGUGUAUGCACAUUCUGGGAGAGUGAGGGCGGGGCCUUGAUUUCGCGGCUUUACUUCCUGCUCACUACUGCAAAGGACUGGUCCCGAAAUUGCUACUGCGCAGACUCAAAACCCAAGAUGUCAGCGGCGACACUGGCGGCUUCACUUUUCACCAAUGGAAGAGAGCAAGCUCUCCAGGUGCUCCUUUUAGAACUAGGACAAAAAAAAGUUAUGUGCACCCCUGAUUUUAGGCUUAUUGUUACAGUUGCGUCCCCUCUACUGCCGUAACAUCAUCGUAAAUGCGAUACAAACACACACACACACAACAUGGAGCAACAGAGCAUAUUAAUGGAAUGUAGCCACAAAAUCAAAAUUGACAGCCACAACUACAUUUUCCACUACCUCUCUCACAUGACAGGUUCUGUACAAACACCCAUGUCAUCAGUACCUGCACUAUGCGGACAGAACAUUUAAGCCAUGACGCCUAUAUUUUUGGUGCGUUUUGGAUGCGGAGCCAUGCGCAAAGUUACAAAAAUGCCAUGCAGACAUAGGCAUGGUGGUGUGCUCUGCAUUUUUGUAACUUUACACAUGACUUCACAUCCGAAACCCAUUACUCCUCACCCAAAAGUGAGCUGUGCUGAACUGGGUCAUACUAUGCAGUGGAAAGGCGCCAAAAGUGUCCUACUUCGUGGCUUGAAGGAUUUAGGUAGGCAAAUUUAUUUGACACAUCACAACCUAAAACUUUAUAAAAAAAAAGUUUAAAUUUUUUCUUGCAGUGUAAACACGGCAUUUUGAUCUUAACAUUUAUUCACAUUUAAUGAGAUAUAGAGAUUUUUAUCUUUCACAGAUGAAUGCAUUUGAGUGAGUCGUUUUUAUGUCUAAACACCGCGGUCCACCAUACAUGAAAGUCACCAUCAUGUUUCUACAGUAGCCCAAGACGGACAAACUGUUCUACAGAGCGUGUUUUGUCCAUACGUUGUCUCAAGGGCUCAUUAUAGCAAACAUACAUGCAGACCGCUGGUAGGCAGUUUCCACGCGUGUAACCACAGAAGCAGCUUGGCUAGUUUAACUCACAAAUGAAGAAACAGCAGAUUGUUGUGUAUGUUUUGAGAAGACCAACAGCAGUGGCGGCCGGUGACUUCUUUUUUUGAGGGCACUCGAUUCGAAGUUCAUCACAACAUGUAUGUAGCCCGUCAUGUGUGUGGUUUCUUUUUUCAAAAUAUGUGUUCUGCGCUUUGAGAGAUCCUAUGUGCAUCACGUGUCAUGUCAAAAUAAGUGCCUGCUGCAGAUGCGUCUAAAGGGUUUAUAAUAAAAGAGACACUCACGAUUGCCAGAUACUCACAUAAUCUCAUGCGUAAUCAGAGUUUACUGUUUAGGGAGUGUCUUGCAUGUAUUUUGUGAACGUGAGUGUCUCUUUUUUAUCAUAAACGGUUUUGACGCGUGUGCAGCAGGCACUUAUUAUGACAAAACAUGUGAUGCACAGGAUCUCUCAACACGCAGGACACAUAUUUUGAAAAAGGCACAUGAUACUCCGUACACUUAUUUUGAAUUAGCGCCCCUCGGAUGAGGAGUAACGAACGCCACUGACCAGCAGUAAUGGAAGUAAAUAAACAGCGAAUCGUUGCAGUUUAAGUAAAAUCACUCCUAUCUUUGUUCUCACCAUAGCAAUUGGAAAUUUCUAUGAUGCAGUUUUUUACCUGAUGAGAGGGGUUCUAAUGGACUAGUAACAGCGCUUGUAGUCCGCGUAGAACUGAAGCACUGUUAAAAAUCAGACUACACAGAGCUACGCUCAGGCUAGGGAUAACCUACGGUGUAGACCUUACGCACGCACUAUAACAUGGGCUUCAGACAAUGACAUUUUUGUCCUGUGGCAGCUACCAUAGAAUCUCAUUGCGUUUAGAAAUUGAGGUUGAUUGCUGUUUGCAAUUUCACCGCUAGAUGCCACAACAAAAUAUAAUACACAUUUAACAUAUAUAACUUUUUGAUUUUAAAUAUGGAUUAGCAAAUGCUGAAAUUAACAUGAACUAAGAUUAAUAAAUAUUGUAGAAGUAUUGUUUAUUGUUAGUUCAUGGUAGCAAAUGCUAACAAAUACAAGCUUAUUGUAAAGUGUUACCAUUGCAAUUUGAUACUAAACCUAAAAAUGUGUAAAUGUCUUACCUGUAUCUUUUUCACUGU